GCGCUUGUGGUAUAAAUAGAGUAUGACGCCUUUCCAAGGCGUGGGUUCGGAUUUGGCAGGGGUC
This 64-nucleotide transfer RNA is filed under the name Dicrocoelium dendriticum. RNAcentral's name for it is "tRNA-Gly". Lineage: Eukaryota; Metazoa; Platyhelminthes; Trematoda; Plagiorchiida; Dicrocoeliidae. The record is from RNAcentral.